This 245-nucleotide ribosomal RNA is filed under the name Trypanosoma brucei. Its description in RNAcentral is "partial ribosomal RNA". The record is from RNAcentral. Lineage: Eukaryota; Euglenozoa; Kinetoplastea; Trypanosomatida; Trypanosomatidae.
AGAUCUAACGGAAUAUUUUUUCUUAAAUGCAACGUUGGAUACUGGAGCGGGGAAGGAUUUCGUGCCAACGGCACUCGUACACGAGUUGUUCGGUCACUGAGCACAACGUUACACCGUUUUGUUAGGAAAGUGAAGGUGGUCGGCGCACAUCUCCCUUUUUUGGGGUUUGUGUGUUUUACCGGCUUAUCUGAAAAGGGGCAACAGAGAACCUGGGAUGAUAUUCCAAAAAGAAAUUGCAUGUGGGA